CCUACGGGAGGCAGCAGUAGGGAAUCUUCCACAAUGGACGAAAGUCUGAUGGAGCAACGCCGCGUGAGUGAUGAAGGUUUUCGGAUCGUAAAACUCUGUUGUAAGGGAAGAACAAGUACGAGAGGGAAUGCUCGUACCUUGACGGUACCUUGCGAGAAAGCCACGGCUAACUACGUGCCAGCAGCCGCGGUAAUACGUAGGUGGCAAGCGUUGUCCGGAAUUAUUGGGCGUAAAGCGCGCGCAGGCGGCCUUUUAAGUCUGAUGUGAAAGCCCCCGGCUCAACCGGGGAGGGUCAUUGGAAACUGGAAGGCUUGAGUACAGAAGAGAAGAGUGGAAUUCCAUGUGUAGCGGUGAAAUGCGUAGAGAUGUGGAGGAACACCAGUGGCGAAGGCGACUCUUGGUCUGUAACUGACGCUGAGGCGCGAAAGCGUGGGGAGCAAACAGGAUUAGAUACCCUGGUAGUCCACGCCGUAAACGAUGAGUGCUAGGUGUUGGGGGGUUUCCGCCCCUCAGUGCUGAAGCUAACGCAUUAAGCACUCCGCCUGGGGAGUACGGCCGCAAGGCUUGAAACUCAAAGGAAUUGACGGCUUGGNGAGNGCGAGGACGACGACGAGGGAGGAGG
Molecule: ribosomal RNA, 622 nt
Filed under: uncultured bacterium
Lineage: Bacteria
Description: bacterial SSU rRNA
Rfam family: Bacterial small subunit ribosomal RNA
Source: RNAcentral